This 332-nucleotide small RNA is filed under the name Pan troglodytes (chimpanzee). RNAcentral describes it as "processed transcript". Lineage: Eukaryota; Metazoa; Chordata; Mammalia; Primates; Hominidae. The record is from RNAcentral.
UCAGGUUUAGCGCGGGAGGGGGGGAUGGCGACUUCACCCGGCCUCUAACAACACGUACGCAUCUUUCGGCGUCUUCUACAAUGGCUAUGUUAAUUACGUGGCCAGGAACUAAACUAUCAAUGAAGCCACCUCUGACUACUUCAGUUACAGUGAGUUUAACAGGAGCAAAAAAGCACGUGGCGCCCUAGGGCAACCGAAACGAGGGUUUUAGACGCUGAUUAUGGGAAAUUGAAAUCUGAGUUGAGUAUGAGAUGACACCAAUAAAUUAUAAUUUUGUUAGAUAAUAGCUUUAUCAGCCAUAAAGUAAUCAAUAAAAAUACCAAUUUCCUGGA